RNAcentral lists this ribosomal RNA (411 nucleotides) under uncultured bacterium. RNAcentral's name for it is "bacterial SSU rRNA". It matches the Rfam family "Bacterial small subunit ribosomal RNA", at positions 505 to 914 of the family's 1533-position model. The record is from RNAcentral.
GUGCCAGCCGCUGCGGUAAUACGGAGGGUGCAAGCGUUAAUCGGAAUUACUGGGCGUAAAGCGCACGCAGGCGGUCUGUCAAGUCGGAUGUGAAAUCCCCGGGCUCAACCCGGGAACUGCAUUCGAAACUGUCAGGCUGGAGUCUUGUAGAGGGGGUAGAAUUCCAGGGUGUAGCGGUGAAAUGCGUAGAGAUCUGGAGGAAUACCGGUGGCGAAGGCGGCCCCCUGGACAAAGACUGACGCUCAGGUGCGAAAGCGUGGGGAGCAAACAGGAUUAGAUACCCUGGUAGUCCACGCCGUAAACGAUGUCUAUUUGGAGGUUGUGCCCUUGAGGCGUGCUUCCGGAGCUAACGCGUUAAAUAGACCGCCUGGGGGAGUACGGCCGCAAGGUUAAAACUCAAAUGAAAUUGAC